CCGAUUUGUUUUCUCUCAAAGUGAGAAGAAAAGAUCAACGAAUGAUCAGUCAAAGCGUAUGAUAAGCAAAUUAUACAGCUGGCGCACGUUAGCAGCAAGACUUAUGCCUACUGAGUUGAGGCGGUGACUCUCCGUACACUCUUUGAGUGAGCGACUCGCGCUUUCUCUAUAAAAGGAGUGCUUCGUAGGUGAAUGGUUCUCGUGUUCUGUUGGUUAACUAAAACUUUUAACUAAAAAGAGCCAUUGCCAGCGAAGCUUUCGUACUCUAGCUACCAAAAGCAAAACCACCUCUAGCGAGGAAAACCCGUAGGGAGAGAGAGAGAGAUUGAAACGCCUCUCCGUCGUCGUUUCUGCUUCUCUAAUCGGAUUUUCGAAUGAAAAUGGCGGAUCAUUACCUGCUAGGAUGGAUCUUGGCAUCUGUCAUGGGGCUUUUCGCUUUCUACUAUAUUGUUUAUUUGCUAGUGAAGCCGGAGGAGGACAAUAAUAGACGAUCCCUCCCUCAGCCGAGAAGCGACUUCGUCAAGACUAUGACAGCUACGAAUGGAGAAUGCAGAUCCGAUGACGACAGCGACGUUGACGUCAUCAUCGUCGGCGCCGGUGUUGCUGGCGCCGCUCUCGCUCAUACCCUCGGCAAGGUGAUUUGGUUUGUUGCUGUUUUGUUUAUUUUUCCACACGCUGCAUUUUUUCGGUAACCGAGGUGAAGUAUUUAUUUAAUUUUGCUUUUAUCUUUUUCUUUUUGAAAUUCGAAAUGUUUUGCCUACAUGGCUUAUGAGCUUUGCCACAUUUAAUAAUUUUUUUUUUUCGCUUAUGAGCGUGAGCUGUAGGUGUUUGUAUACUUCGCUGUGUAGAUAUCAACAGUGAUUUUGCCUUUUCUUUUCCUUUUCAUUUUUCCUCCCUGUAUUCUCUCUGUCUCUGGUUUUCUGACUGAACAAGGAUUUUAUUAAGGUGUUCUGAUGUAUAACUGGGUUUGAUUUUAACUUACAAAGACUGAAGUCUACGGAGUUGAACUGGAUUGGAUUAUGCUCAUCAGUUUUUGUUAUAUUGUUUUUCUGCUUUCCAUGGGUAUAUACGGUUAUUUUAUUUUUUAAGUACAGAUUAUAUAUUAUAGUCUAGAACUAGGUUAACAUGUGAUUUUAUUCAUUCUGUGUGGAGGCUAUUUAUAGUUCCAUCAGAGGCACGAAUAGAAGAUGAGUAUUCUGUAUAUGCAUAUAUUUGCAGGCCUGUAAAUAUGCCAGUACUCUUAGGAUAUUUUGGUCUUUUCGUUGGACUGACGAUAAAAAUAUGUGCGUAGAAUCACCCGUAAAGCCAGCGUACCUGCAAUUUACCCCUUCCCUUUUCUGAUGGGAAGGGGAUACAAAUAGUGUUGUCACUUCUGACGAGUUUAUUUCUAAAAUUUUUCUUUUUUAUUUUUCGGUUUUCUAAAAUUACUAUUAAGGCCUCAAAGUGCUUACAGAUGCAGCAGUUUGUUGAUAUGUAUUUGUGUGUAAAAUGAAAUCAUUUUGGACUUGGCGGUGGAAAAUUUGAAUGCUGCUUUUAAGCUUGAUGUCUUAUCUAAUGAAGCAUUAGCCAAUACCUUUGGCACAUCACUUUAGAAUUAACGAUUAGAAUUUGGGAAGGACAAACUGGGCAUAUGAAAAUUAAUUGUUAAAAGAUUCUUCGUCUGUGGUCUAGUCUGUUUUUUUAUAUGGUUGUAUAGAAUUCGUUUGCCAUGCCUUGACCCCACCUUUCUAUUUAUUAUUAUCGGCUAACGAGCAAGACACGGAGUGAACAACUUGAUACAUGCUAUCACUCUAAAUUGCAGGGAUUGCAUUGAAAUUCUUAAUCCAUAAUUUAAUCGAAAGGCCAAUACUUAAUUCUAUGGGGUUUUAACUUAGUAUAUUUCUUCUGAUUGAUGGGUACAUGUAAUAUUCUCCCAUAACACAUAAAUUAUGUUUUGUACUCAUUAAACAGAGGGCCAACUUUGUUUGAGUUUCAUGUUUUGAAGUUUUUGUUUCUUUCCUAGUACUUUGGGCUAUGGCUGGUUUUGUCUAUAGCAUCAGAUAAAUUCUUCAAGUAGGAUACUCUUAACCUCUAGUUUUUUCCAUAACAAGUUAAUUAUGUUAUUUGAAAAACAGGAUGGGCGUCGAGUGCAUGUCAUUGAAAGAGACUUGACCGAACCUGACAGAAUUGUUGGUGAAUUGCUACAGCCGGGGGGCUACCUAAAGUUAAUUGAGUUAGGACUUGAAGAUUGUGUGGAGGAAAUUGAUGCACAGCGAGUGUUUGGUUAUGCUCUUUUCAAGGAUGGAAAACAUACACAACUUGCUUAUCCCCUGGAAAAGUUUCACUCAGAAGUAGCAGGGAGGAGCUUUCACA
RNAcentral lists this unclassified non-coding RNA (2352 nucleotides) under Hevea brasiliensis (rubber tree). Lineage: Eukaryota; Viridiplantae; Streptophyta; Magnoliopsida; Malpighiales; Euphorbiaceae. The record is from RNAcentral.